UCGAGAAUUUUUGACAAUGGGGGAAACCCUGAUCGAGCGACGCCGCGUGGAGGAUGAAGGUCUUCGGAUUGUAAACUCCUGUCAUUGGGGAACAAUGCACAGAUAUUAACUGUAUUUGUGUUGAUAGUACCCGAAGAGGAAGAGACGGCUAACUCUGUGCCAGCAGCCGCGGUAAUACAGAGGUCUCAAGCGUUGUUCGGAUUCAUUGGGCGUAAAGGGUGCGUAGGCGGCGCGGUAAGUCGGGUGUGAAAUCUCGGGGCUUAACUCCGAAACUGCAUUCGAUACUGCCGUGCUUGAGGACUGGAGAGGAGACUGGAAUUUACGGUGUAGCGGUGAAAUGCGUAGAUAUCGUAAGGAAGACCAGUGGCGAAGGCGGGUCUCUGGACAGUUCCUGACGCUGAGGCACGAAGGUCAGGGGAGCAAACG
RNAcentral lists this ribosomal RNA (426 nucleotides) under bacterium. Its description in RNAcentral is "partial 16S ribosomal RNA". It matches the Rfam family "Bacterial small subunit ribosomal RNA", at positions 355 to 774 of the family's 1533-position model. The record is from RNAcentral. RNAcentral also lists the same sequence under 2 other names.